This 103-nucleotide microRNA precursor is filed under the name Marmota monax (woodchuck). The record is from RNAcentral. Lineage: Eukaryota; Metazoa; Chordata; Mammalia; Rodentia; Sciuridae.
AGUGGGAUAGCUGGGUCAAGUGGUGGUUUCAUGUCAAGUUUUCCAAGGAAUUUCCAUACUGUUUUCCAGAGUGGUUGCACCAAUUUGCAAUCCCACAAGCAAU